UUCACGAGCGUGACCGGUAACCGACGGCCUC
RNAcentral lists this non-coding RNA (31 nucleotides) under Mus musculus (house mouse). The record is from RNAcentral. Lineage: Eukaryota; Metazoa; Chordata; Mammalia; Rodentia; Muridae.